CAUACCUGUAGCACAGCCGAUGUGUGAGACAGCAGAGCCAAGCCACAAGUGUGCAGCGAGGACAGCGAGCACUGAAUGGGAUCACGAAGAAAGUGCUAACUCAUAAAAUGGAAGGGACUACACGUGCAAAUCCAAGUGGAAAUUCCUGUAGACCAGAUCUCCAAUUAUAAACUUGGACUUGUGCGAGUGAUAUAAAAUAUCCUUCUAUGAACACACAUGCAUGGGAACAAGCACAUCAUCCUGCAUGAUGGCCUCACUUCACAGGAUAUGUGGAGAUAUCUACACGGCAACAUGCUGUGGGGUGACACAUGCACAGGUUCCCAGCACCAAGAACUGGCCCUCUUAGGGUAGGCUCUCCACAGUGCCGUUUCUGAACAGAGCUACUCUCCUGACCUUCCAAAACCAAUCAGCAAAAAUCCUCCAGAAGAUGCCGUGCAGUUUAACUAGACUAACUGUAGCUUUUCCAGCACCUUUCUCAAACCUCAGGCAAAGCAAUGGGAAGAGAUUUCAAAUGCAUGGUGUACAACUGAUAGGACCUGGAAUAACUCCCCUACCAUUGUGCUUGCUGUUUUCCCUCACUUUUCUCAAUUCAUCUGAGCAGUAAGCUGGCAAAAAUCCAUUCAUAUUUAAGUAGAAGUUCCGUUUCUUUUAAAAGUAGCCUGAUAUUACAUGUCAAAAUUCAAGUUAUGUUUAAACAAAAAUAAUGGCAUUUCCAAGGCUUAGUAAACAAAAGAAAUAUGCUGUAUUGAUAAGUAUGAUUUUUGUCAUAUAAUGACUUGAAGAAUGUUGAUGAGUUAUGUAUAGGAAGGAGAAAAGGAGAAAAUCAUCUUGUACUGCUGAGGUUACUGCUAGAAACAUGCAAGUGUUCACUGCAUAACCUUUGAACAGCAGUGAAUGCCUGCUAUAAAAUGUGAAUUAAACUGGCGUAGAUU
Long non-coding RNA from Oxyura jamaicensis (ruddy duck), 932 nucleotides. RefSeq lists it as uncharacterized. The record is from RefSeq and is a predicted model, not a curated record. Lineage: Eukaryota; Metazoa; Chordata; Aves; Anseriformes; Anatidae. The transcript is spliced from 3 exons.